UUUCCGUAGGUGAACCUGCGGAAGGAUCAUUAACGAGUUAGGGUCUUCUAGGCCCGACCUCCCAACCCUAUGUUUAUUGAACCUCUGUUGCUUCGGCGGACUCGCCUCACGGCCGCCGGAGGACCGCUGCAAGGCGUCCUCUGGCCAGCGUCCGCCGAUGGCCAACCACUUAAACUCUGAAUGAAUCGUGUCAUAUGUCUAAGUCUAUGAUUAAAUUAAAGCAAAACUUUCAACAACGGAUCUCUUGGUUCUG
RNAcentral lists this unclassified non-coding RNA (253 nucleotides) under plant metagenome. Its description in RNAcentral is "partial contains small subunit ribosomal RNA, internal transcribed spacer 1, and 5.8S ribosomal RNA". The record is from RNAcentral.